UGGGGAAUAUUGGACAAUGGGCGAAAGCCUGAUCCAGCCAUGCCGCGUGUGUGAAGAAGGUCUUCGGAUUGUAAAGCACUUUAAGUUGGGAGGAAGGGCAGUAAAUUAAUACUUUGCUGUUUUGACGUUACCGACAGAAUAAGCACCGGCUAACUCUGUGCCAGCAGCCGCGGUAAUACAGAGGGUGCAAGCGUUAAUCGGAAUUACUGGGCGUAAAGCGCGCGUAGGUGGUUCGUUAAGUUGGAUGUGAAAUCCCCGGGCUCAACCUGGGAACUGCAUUCAAACUGACGAGCUAGAGUAUGGUAGAGGGUGGUGGAAUUUCCUGUGUAGCGGUGAAAUGCGUAGAUAUAGGAAGGAACACCAGUGGCGAAGGCGACCACCUGGACUGAUACUGACACUGAGGUGCGAAAGCGUGGGGAGCAAAACAGGAUUAGAUACCCUGGUAGUCCACGCCGUAAACGAUGUCAACUAGCCGUUGGGAGCCUUGAGCUCUUAGUGGCGCAGCUAACGCAUUAAGUUGACCGCCUGGGGAGUACGGCCGCAAGGUUAAAAGC
Molecule: ribosomal RNA, 554 nt
Filed under: uncultured bacterium
Lineage: Bacteria
Description: partial 16S ribosomal RNA
Rfam family: Bacterial small subunit ribosomal RNA
Source: RNAcentral